RNAcentral lists this transfer RNA (85 nucleotides) under Deltaproteobacteria bacterium. Its description in RNAcentral is "tRNA-Tyr". It matches the Rfam family "tRNA". From Rfam's summary of the family: Transfer RNA (tRNA) molecules are approximately 80 nucleotides in length. Their secondary structure includes four short double-helical elements and three loops (D, anti-codon, and T loops). The record is from RNAcentral. Lineage: Bacteria; Pseudomonadati; Myxococcota; Myxococcia.
GGAGAGGUACCCGAGGGGCCAAAGGGGGCAGACUGUAAAUCUGCUGGCUAAGCCUACGGAGGUUCGAAUCCUCCCCUCUCCACCA